GAUGAAGAACGUAGCGAAAUGCGAUAAGUAAUGUGAAUUGCAGAAUUCAGUGAAUCAUCGAAUCUUUGAACGCACAUUGCGCCCGCCAGUAUUCUGGCGGGCAUGCCUGUCUGAGCGUCAUUUCAACCCUCAAGCCCCCGGGCUUGGUGUUGGGGAUCGGCGUGCCCUCGCGGCGCGCCGUCCCCUAAAUCUAGUGGCGGUCUCGCUGUAGCUUCCUCUGCGUAGUAGCAACACUCGCACUGGAUCGCAGCGCGGCCACGCCGUUAAACCCCCCACUUCUGAAAGUUUGACCUCGGAUCAGGUAGGAAUACCCGCUGAACUUAAGCAUAUCAAUAAGCGGAGGA
RNAcentral lists this unclassified non-coding RNA (344 nucleotides) under soil metagenome. Its description in RNAcentral is "partial contains 5.8S ribosomal RNA, internal transcribed spacer 2, and large subunit ribosomal RNA". The stretch from base 1 to 120 matches the Rfam family "5.8S ribosomal RNA", at positions 35 to 154 of the family's 154-position model. The record is from RNAcentral.